Zootermopsis nevadensis is the source of this 1017-nucleotide non-coding RNA. The record is from RefSeq and is a predicted model, not a curated record. NCBI's taxonomy places the organism in Eukaryota, Metazoa, Arthropoda, Insecta, Blattodea, Termopsidae.
CAUUAGUUACUUCCGUAGUUCAGUGCAAAAAGUCGGUGUGCGUACAACAUUCAACAAAACCUAUGAAUUGAUAGAUUCAUCUGUUAGUUACCAGCAUGAACAGAACAAAGGCGUUUCAACCAAGUCAGAAGAUUGUUGACCUUUAAGAAGACACGGAAAGGGACGCAAUUCAACUACAGGUGGAUUAAGAAGGAAUUUCCAACACAGCCUUCAAGGCAGCAAAUAAUUCUUCUACGUUGUGCAUUAAGAACCUUCUAAUGGCCGCAGGUCUACGUUAACUCGUCCUUGGAAGAAAGGGCGAUCUUAUUUCUGGAGCUCAGCUCGUGAUGUACGAGAUUCUUUAUGUGAAAGCCGCCCUGCACCAAAGAACCAGACUGAACGAACCAUUUGGUGGUUACAGAUCUUAUUCUUCAGUCACCUUAGCUGUCAGCCCCCUCAUUGUGGAAUCAUUUCAGCCUCCAUUUUCACAAAAUGGAAAUGUUGCUGUAAUCAGGUAACUGAGAAAUGACAAAUUCCUACAUGAGACAUGACCAGCUCGAAUUAAUGUUGCUUAAUACAAGAAGCCUUCAUUGUCAAGAAGAAUGCCUAGCAACAUCACAGUUCUUUGAGAAGACGAGAAUGUGCCCUAAAAAAGUGGCGUGCAGACUUUUUCUUUCCUCUGCCAAUAAUACUUGCUGGAGACUUCUUCCUGGAUAUGAAAUCCACCAGAUAAGAAUCUUCUAACAAAUUCUUAUUCUAGCAUCAUUCGUUGAGGUUAAACACUAAUCUUGCUACACUACACCAACUAGAUAUUAAAAAAGAAAUAGAUGCCAUUUUCACUUUAACUCUUCUGCAAGUAAAAGUUUUGAGAAUUUGUUAAUUACUUUCCUUUUUUCACAUAGCCUUAUUUUCUUUUCACAUAUUCCUAUAAAGUUUCUGUAGAAGUCGAGAGAAUCAACACGACCUGGGAUUUAAUGAAUUUAUCAUAUAAUUAUUAUUUGGACUAUUAUAACACUGAAAUUAAAUAUAUAUUCUGUC